AGCGUAUCUAAUUUAAGCAGGUGUUCUACAGGUCUGGGAAUGCCCUUCUGUGAUUUUCAUCAUUGAUUUAUUUGUUUUAUCAUCGAACACUGUGGCACUCAAAGUGAUAACUCAGUCAGCUAUGAGUAGAUGUAUAGCAGCCUGCUUCAGUGCUCAUGUGGUAAAGUUUUUGGUCACACAAAGGUGCUGGAGUUGGGAACUUUGAAAUCGUAGAUCAUUGUUGUUUUCAAAUUC
Prunus avium (sweet cherry) is the source of this 234-nucleotide non-coding RNA. The record is from RefSeq and is a predicted model, not a curated record. NCBI's taxonomy places the organism in Eukaryota, Viridiplantae, Streptophyta, Magnoliopsida, Rosales, Rosaceae.